Molecule: ribosomal RNA, 406 nt
Filed under: uncultured bacterium
Lineage: Bacteria
Description: partial 16S ribosomal RNA
Rfam family: Bacterial small subunit ribosomal RNA
Source: RNAcentral
AUUGAACGCUGGCGGCAGGCCUAACACAUGCAAGUCGAACGAGUGGCGGACGGGUGAGUAAUGUCUGGGAAACUGCCUGAUGGAGGGGGAUAACUACUGGAACCGGUAGCUAAUACCGCAUACCAUCAGAUGUGCCCAGAUGGGAUUAGCUAGUUGGGGGGGUAACGGCUCACCAGGGCGACGAUCCCUAGCUGGUUUGAGAGGAUGACCAGCAACACGGGAACUGAUACACGGUACAGACUGCAACGGGAGGCAGCAGUGGGGAAUAUUGAACAAUGGGCGCAAGCCUGAUGCAGCCAUGCCGAGUGUAUGAAGAAGGCCUUCGGGUUGUAAAGGUCUUUCAGCGGGGAGGCGUUAACCGCAGAAGAAGCACCGGCUAACGCCGUGCCAGCAGCCGCGGUAAUAC